RNAcentral lists this ribosomal RNA (460 nucleotides) under uncultured bacterium. RNAcentral describes it as "partial 16S ribosomal RNA". It matches the Rfam family "Bacterial small subunit ribosomal RNA", at positions 338 to 795 of the family's 1533-position model. The record is from RNAcentral.
CCUACGGGAGGCAGCAGUGAGGAAUAUUGGUCAAUGGGCGGAAGCCUGAACCAGCCAAGUAGUGUGCAGGAUGACGGCCCUACGGGUUGUAAACUGCUUUUAUACGGGAAUAACGCGCCUUACGUGUAGGGCUUUGCAUGUACCCUUUGAAUAAGGACCGGCUAAUUCCGUUCCAGCAGCCGCGGUAAUACGGAAGGUCCGGGCGUUAUCCGGAUUUAUUUGGUUUAAGGGGAGCGUAGGCCGGAUGUCAAGCGUGCUGUGAAAUGUCCGGGCUCAACCCUGGCCUUGCAGCGCGAACUGGCGUGCUUGAGUCCGCGGAAAGCAGGCGGAAUUCGUCGUGUAGCGGUGAAAUGCUUAGAUAUGACGAAGAACCCCGAUUGCGAAGGCAGCUUGCUGCAGCGGAACUGACGCUGAUGCUCGAAAGCGCGGGUAUCGAACAGGAUUAGAUACCCUGGUAGUC